RNAcentral lists this ribosomal RNA (553 nucleotides) under Idiomarina aquatica. RNAcentral's name for it is "bacterial SSU rRNA". It matches the Rfam family "Bacterial small subunit ribosomal RNA", at positions 888 to 1441 of the family's 1533-position model. Lineage: Bacteria; Pseudomonadati; Pseudomonadota; Gammaproteobacteria; Alteromonadales; Idiomarinaceae. The record is from RNAcentral.
GCAAGGUUAAAACUCAAAUGAAUUGACGGGGGCCCGCACAAGCGGUGGAGCAUGUGGUUUAAUUCGAUGCAACGCGAAGAACCUUACCAUCCCUUGACAUCGCAGUGAACUUUCUAGAGAUAGAUGGUGCCUUCGGGAACACUGAGACAGGUGCUGCAUGGCUGUCGUCAGCUCGUGUUGUGAGAUGUUGGGUUAAGUCCCGCAACGAGCGCAACCCUUAUCCUUAGUUUCCAGCGAGUAAUGGUGGGAACUCUGGGGAGACUGCCGGUGAUAAACCGGAGGAAGGUGGGGACGACGUCAAGUCAUCAUGGCCCUUACGGGCAGGGCUACACACGUGCUACAAUGGCGCGUACAAAGGGCAGCGAACCCGCGAAGGUAAGCGAAUCUCACAAAGCGCGUCGUAGUCCGGAUCGGAGUCUGCAACUCGACUCCGUGAAGUCGGAAUCGCUAGUAAUCGUGAAUCAGAAUGCCACGGUGAAUACGUUCCCGGGCCUUGUACACACCGCCCGUCACACCAUGGGAGUGGGUGCACCAGAAGUGGUUAGUUUAACCU